Long non-coding RNA from Alosa alosa (allis shad), 606 nucleotides. RefSeq lists it as uncharacterized. The record is from RefSeq and is a predicted model, not a curated record. NCBI's taxonomy places the organism in Eukaryota, Metazoa, Chordata, Actinopteri, Clupeiformes, Clupeidae. The transcript is spliced from 3 exons.
GUUUUGCAAGGUGGUUUCAAAGUUUCCCAAACAAGCCUUUGGGUUCGGCAUGCUUUCAUAUGAUGGGAAGACUUCAGACUGAACAGAACAGAAUGUAAAUUUCAGUACAAAGAAAGAACAUCCUCAAGAUUCCUGCAACUCUGAAGAUUGCCUUGCCGUACUUUCCAGUCCAGAGAGAGAGAGAGAGAGAGAAUUUUUGCAAAUCUGUUAAAAGGACCAAGACCAGCAAUGACAUGAGAUAGAGAGGUGCCACGGAAUGAAGAACAUGUUGGACUACAAGAUCUUAGUGGUGUGUGUUUGAUGGUUGUAGCUUUUUGUUUCUUUGGUGUGUUAUUAUCUUUGUUGGUGUUUUUGCAGGAUUUGUCGUCUAUUUAUUCAUGAGAGCAGGAACGUUUGUCUGUGUGUUUGUGUUUGUUAGUCUGUUUUAUUUUUUUUUUGCCUGAAAAAAUCGUAGGUUCAAUUCCGCCUUCCACCAUUGUGUCCUUGAGCAAGGCACUUAACCCUGAGUUGCUCUGCGGACACUGACCCUUGUAAUGUAAUUGAUAUAUAUAAGUCGCUUUGGCGAAAACCGUCUGCUAAACUAAUAAAUGUAAAAUAUCUCUCGAA